UGGCGAACGGGUGAGUAAUAUAUCGGAACGUACCCAGAAGUGGGGGAUAACGUAGCGAAAGUUACGCUAAUACCGCAUACGAUCUACGGAUGAAAGUGGGGGACCUUCGGGCCUCAUGCUUUUGGAGCGGCCGAUAUCUGAUUAGCUAGUUGGUGAGGUAAAGGCUCACCAAGGCGACGAUCAGUAGCUGGUCUGAGAGGACGACCAGCCACACUGGGACUGAGACACGGCCCAGACUCCUACGGGAGGCAGCAGUGGGGAAUUUUGGACAAUGGGCGCAAGCCUGAUCCAGCAAUGCCGCGUGAGUGAAGAAGGCCUUCGGGUUGUAAAGCUCUUUUGUCA
Molecule: ribosomal RNA, 342 nt
Filed under: uncultured Massilia sp.
Lineage: Bacteria; Pseudomonadati; Pseudomonadota; Betaproteobacteria; Burkholderiales; Oxalobacteraceae
Description: bacterial SSU rRNA
Rfam family: Bacterial small subunit ribosomal RNA
Source: RNAcentral